GACGAACUGUGCAAACGUUAUUCGGAAUUACUGGGCGUAAAGGGCGCGUAGGCGGCCGCCUAAGUCAGACGUGAAAUCCCUCGGCUCAACCGGGGAACUGCGUCUGAUACUGGGUGGCUUGAAUUCGGGAGAGGGAUGCGGAAUUCCAGGUGUAGCGGUGAAAUGCGUAGAUAUCUGGAGGAACACCGGUGGCGAAGGCGGCAUCCUGGACCGAGAUUGACGCUGAGGCGCGAAAGCCAGGGGAGCAAACGGG
RNAcentral lists this ribosomal RNA (253 nucleotides) under uncultured bacterium. RNAcentral's name for it is "partial 16S ribosomal RNA". It matches the Rfam family "Bacterial small subunit ribosomal RNA", at positions 524 to 776 of the family's 1533-position model. The record is from RNAcentral.